GACGAACGCUGGCGGCGUGCCUAACACAUGCCAGUCGAACGGAAAGGCCCUGCUUUUGUGGGGUGCUCGAGUGGCGAACGGGUGAGUAACACGUGAGUAACCUGCCCUUGACUUUGGGAUAACUUCAGGAAACUGGGGCUAAUACCGGAUAGGAGCUCCUGCUGCAUGGUGGGGGUUGGAAAGUUUCGGCGGUUGGGGAUGGACUCGCGGCUUAUCAGCUUGUUGGUGGGGUAGUGGCUUACCAAGGCUUUGACGGGUAGCCGGCCUGAGAGGGUGACCGGCCACAUUGGGACUGAGAUACGGCCCAGACUCCUACGGGAGGCAGCAGUGGGGAAUAUUGCACAAUGGGUGGAAGCCUGAUGCAGCAACGCCGCGUGCGGGAUGACGGCCUUCGGGUUGUAAACCGCUUUCGCCUGUGACGAAGCGUGAGUGACGGUAAUGGGUAAAGAAGCACCGGCUAACUACGUG
Molecule: ribosomal RNA, 468 nt
Filed under: uncultured bacterium
Lineage: Bacteria
Description: partial 16S ribosomal RNA
Rfam family: Bacterial small subunit ribosomal RNA
Source: RNAcentral